AUACGGAGGAUCCGAGCGUUAUCCGGAUUUAUUGGGUUUAAAGGGAGCGUAGAUGGAUGUUUAAGUCAGUUGUGAAAGUUUGCGGCUCAACCGUAAAAUUGCAGUUGAUACUGGAUAUCUUGAGUGCAGUUGAGGCAGGCGGAAUUCGUGGGGGAGCGGUGAAAUACUUAGAUAUCACGAAGAACUCCGAUUGCGAAGGCAGCCUGCUAAGCUGCAACUGACAUUGAGGCUCGAAAGUGUGGGUAUCAAACAGGAUUAGAUACCCUGGUAGUCCACACGGUAAACGAUGAAUACUCGCUGUUUGCGAUAUACGGCAAGCGGCCAAGCGAAAGCGUUAAGUAUUCCACCUGGGGAGUACGCCGGCAACGGUGAAACUCAAAUGAAUUGACGGGG
Molecule: ribosomal RNA, 393 nt
Filed under: uncultured bacterium
Lineage: Bacteria
Description: partial 16S ribosomal RNA
Rfam family: Bacterial small subunit ribosomal RNA
Source: RNAcentral